CUUCAUCUGGAUAUGGAUAUGCUAGCAUUGAAAAGCAGAGGCUGAGAUUGCCUGUGUACAAGUACAGAACAGCGAUUCUGUAUCUGGUGGAGACUCAUGCCACUACUGUUAUCGUUGGCGAGACCGGUAGCGGCAAAACCACACAGAUUCCUCAGUAUCUUAAGGAGGCAGGUUGGGCUGAUGGUGGGCGUGUCAUAGCUUGCACCCAACCAAGAAGAUUGGCAGUCCAGGCAGUUGCUUCAAGGGUGGCUGAAGAGAUGGGGGUCAAGCUUGGAGAGGAAGUUGGCUACACAAUUCGAUUUGAGGAUCUUGCAAAUUCAGGUGUCACAAUGA
This 333-nucleotide unclassified non-coding RNA is filed under the name Hevea brasiliensis (rubber tree). The record is from RNAcentral. Lineage: Eukaryota; Viridiplantae; Streptophyta; Magnoliopsida; Malpighiales; Euphorbiaceae.